RNAcentral lists this ribosomal RNA (1094 nucleotides) under Serratia sp. (in: enterobacteria). RNAcentral's name for it is "bacterial SSU rRNA". It matches the Rfam family "Bacterial small subunit ribosomal RNA", at positions 63 to 1132 of the family's 1533-position model. The record is from RNAcentral. Lineage: Bacteria; Pseudomonadati; Pseudomonadota; Gammaproteobacteria; Enterobacterales; Yersiniaceae.
CGAGCGGUAGCACAGGAGGCUUGGUCCUGUUGGAGGAGAGUGGCGCAGGGGAGUGUUGUCUGGGAAACUGCGUGAUGGAGGGGGAUAACUAUACUCGACGGAGUGGAAUACCGCAUAUAGUCUACGGACCAAAAAGGGGGACAUUCGGGCCUCAUGAAUCAGAUGUGCCCCGAUGGGAUAAGCUAGUAGGUGGGGUAAUGGCUCACCUAGGCGACGAUCCCUAGCUGGUCUGAGAGGAUGACCAGCCACACUGGAACUGAGACACGGUCCAGACUCCUACGGGAGGCAGCAGUGGGGAAUAUUGCACAAUGGGCGCAAGCCUGAUGCAGCCAUGCCGCGUGUGUGAAGAAAGCCUUCGGGUUGUAAAGCACUUUUUGCGAGGAGGAAAGGGUUAGUGUUAAUAGCACUGUGCUUUGACGUUACUCGCGCAAAAAAACACCGGCUAACUCCGUGCCACCAGCCGCGGUAAUACACGAGGGUGCGCGCGCGUUUCUCGAAAUUCUGGGCGUAUAGCGCACGCGGGCGGUGUGUGAAGACAGAUAUGUGAUCUCCCGCGCGCUCAGUGUGGAACUCUGUUUUUAACUGUGCAAGCUAUAGUCUAUGUAGAGAGGGGGAGAGAACUACGUGUGUCGCUGAGAUGCGUAUAGAUCUGUGAGAGAAUACCCGAGGCGAAAACGGCCCCCUGUGGAAAAACUGACACUCUCGUGCGAAAGCGUGUGGGAGAGCACAGGAUUAUAUACACCCGGGAGUCCACACUCUAUAAAAAUGUGUCACUUUGGGUGUUUGUGCCCUUUUAGGCGUGGGUUCCCGCAGCUAACGCGUGAAGUCUGACCGCCUGGGGAGUACGGUCGCAAGAUUAAAAACUCAAAUGAAUUGACGGGGACCCGCACAAAGCGGUGGAUCAUGUGGAUUAAUUUCGAUGCAACGCGAGAACUUAACCUACUCUUGACAUCUCAAGAAUUCCGUAAAGAAUUGGUUAUUGCUCUCAGGAAAUCUGAAACAAGCCGCUAUAGCCGUCGUCUACACUCUUGGUGCGAAUGUGCGGUAAGUCCGACCAAGGCAACCUUAGCAUUGUGCCAAACGAAUGACUGAUC